Molecule: long non-coding RNA, 1474 nt
Organism: Oncorhynchus masou masou (cherry salmon)
Lineage: Eukaryota; Metazoa; Chordata; Actinopteri; Salmoniformes; Salmonidae
Exons: 2
Source: RefSeq, a predicted model, not a curated record
UUUAUUUCACCAAGUGCACUCGAUGAACAGACAUUACUAACACACAUCAUAGAAUGGGAUUUCAUACAUUAUCCUAUCCAUUCCUAUCCAAAGUGCAUCUGGUUAUAACUUUAGUCUCGUGGGAGUGUAUCACAUGGGGCAUGCGUGGUCAGAAAUGAACAAAGGACAUUUGGGGAGACAGCUGGUGGUCUAUAUAUAAGUCACCAGCUCAGAGGGGGACAUGUUAUGCGCCUGUCAUUUGGACUCCCUUUAUCUCAAUCAAUGCUUAAUCUGAUAUUAUGAAUUUUCCAUACCUUAUGUUGUAAUCCAGUCGGUGUCAAUGUGACAAGGGUCAUGACAUGAUGAUGACUCAAAGAGGGAAACCACAGGGCAGGGAGAGGUAAGGAGGCUUAGAUGGAAAUGCUGAGUGAUUCGUGCUUUUGAGACGCCGAUUAUAUUGCAAUCCACGAGGAGACAGCGUGGCAGGCUGACCACCUGUAACGUGAGUGCAGGCAGCAAGGAGCCAAGGUAAGUUGCUAGCUAGCAUUAAACUUAUCUUAUAAAAACAAUUAAUCUUAACAUAAUUACUACUUAACUACACAUGGUUGAUGAUAUUACUAGUUUAACUAGCUUGUCCUGCGUUGCAUAUAAUCAAUGUGGUGCCUGAAAUUGUGUCACUUCUCUUGCAUUCAGUGUAAGCAGAGUCAGGGUACAUGCAGCAGUUUGUGUCGCCUGGCUCGUUGCGAACUGUGUGAAGAAUAUUUCUUCCUAACAAAGACCGUAAUUAAUUUGCCAGAAUUUUACAUAAUUAUGACAUAACAUUAAAGGUUGUGCAAUGUAACAGCAAUAUUUAGACUUAGGGUUGCCACCCGUUUGAUAAAAUAGGGAACGGUUCCAUAUUUCACUGAAAUAAUAAAUGUUUUGUUUUUGAAAUGAUAGUUUCCCGGAUAUGACCAUAUUAAUGAGCUAAGGCUCGUAUUUCAGUGUGUUUAUUAUAUUAUAAUUAAGUCUAUGAUUUGAUAGAGCAGUCUGACUGAGCGGUGGUAGGCAGCAGCAUGCUCGUAAGCAUUCAUUCAAACCGCACUUUCCUCCGUUUGCCAGCAGCAUUUCGCAAUGCUUGAAGCACAGCACUGUUUAUGACUUCCAGCCUAUCAACUCCCGAGAUUAGGCUGGCAAUACUAUAGUGCCUAUAAGAACAUCUAAUAGUCAAAGGUCUAUGAAAUACAAAUGGUAUAGAGAGAAAUAGUCCUAUAAUAACCACAACUUAAAACUUCUUAACUGUGAAUAUUGAAGACACAUGUUAAAAGGAACCACCAAGGAACUUAAACGUGAGCUUUUUUACAUGGUACAUAUUGCACUUUAACUAUCUUCUCCAACACUGUGUUUUUGCAUUGUUUAAAACAAAUUGAACAUGUUUCAUUAUUUAUUUGAGACUAAAUUGAUUUUAUUUAUGUAUUAUAUUAAGUUAAAAUAAAAGUGUUCAUUGUUCAUUAAG